AGGCGACCUACAUCCUCAGCUUAUGAAGAUGACAAGAUUAAGAGAUUAAAGACAGGCAUAAGAAAUCAAAAGAGUAUUGAUUAAGGAAGUGAGAGUGUGAAGAGGAGGAGAAAGGCUAAGAUCUUUUCCAAUGCAAAAUUAGGAAAAAAUAUACUAUAGAUUUAUGAAAAAAUAAGAAGUGAAAGUAUUCUCUGACUGCAAGUAUGACCACCUGUCUUUCUAUAUCAGCAGCCUGAAAAGCUGAUGUAAUGACUGGAUCUUCAGCAGCCAUCUUGAGCAACAGGUAGAAGCUAGAGGCUGAGGAAUGAUGGAGCA
Molecule: long non-coding RNA, 315 nt
Organism: Pan troglodytes (chimpanzee)
Lineage: Eukaryota; Metazoa; Chordata; Mammalia; Primates; Hominidae
Exons: 4
Source: RefSeq, a predicted model, not a curated record